GGACUACAAGGGUUUCUAAUCCCGUUCGCUCCCCUGGCUUUCGCGUCUCAGCGUCAGUAGGCGUCCAGGACCUCGCUUUCGCCACGGGCGUUCCUUCCGAUCUCAACGCAUUUCACCGCUCCACCGGAAGUUCCAGGUCCCCCUACGCCCCUCCAGGACGGUCGUAUCCGCGCCCGUUCCCCGGUUGAGCCGGGGGAUUUCAGCGACGGACGUGCCGUCCCGCCUACACGCGCUUUAAGCCCAGUGAUUCCGAAUAACGUUCGCACGGUUCGUCUUACCGCGGCGGCUGGCAC
RNAcentral lists this ribosomal RNA (293 nucleotides) under uncultured bacterium. RNAcentral describes it as "partial 16S ribosomal RNA". The record is from RNAcentral. RNAcentral also lists the same sequence under 2 other names.